UUCUUGAACGGAAAAAAAAUCUAGUCUAAAUUUAUCAAAAGUGUCCAAUUUUAAAUCAUCCUGAAGCGCACAAAUUAAUUCUACAAGAUUUUUCACAGUUUAAAUUCACUGACGAUGAAAUAAAUUACGACGCUGCAGAUGAAUGGUCCGAAUUUUUUGAAAAAGUUCAAACAGUUUGUCCUCUUGAUUCGACAAAAAAAAGAUGCUCGGAUUCGUCAUUUAUUAAACUUGCUCUACACAUGUGAAAUAGAAUAUAACAAAGCAGUAAUUCAACUACGUCUUUUAUCAUUCCUUGUUGCUCUCAAAGGAAGACAACGCAAACCAAAUAAAAAUGAUUGGAAAUACAGUAUGUUAGAGUCAGAAGAAAGUACUGUCCAAUAUGCCGCGGUGACUUAAUAUUAUUAAAUUACAACUAUUGACGAUAUUACUCGGAUUUGCAAGGACUUUAAGACGGCUAUGAGCGCGAAAGGUUUAAACAGAGAUGG
Leptopilina boulardi is the source of this 485-nucleotide long non-coding RNA. RefSeq lists it as uncharacterized. The transcript is spliced from 3 exons. NCBI's taxonomy places the organism in Eukaryota, Metazoa, Arthropoda, Insecta, Hymenoptera, Figitidae. The record is from RefSeq and is a predicted model, not a curated record.